ACAGAAUCUAUUGGGAUGUUGCAUCUCAUGCAAAAAUGAACGAAUCACUCUCUAAGACAACUCAUUGCUCCCGAGACAUAUUACAGAUUCGUUCAAAAUCGUUCAUGAACGACACAUCAUUAUUAGAGACGGGCAGGCACUAAGACCCUGGGCUGCACUGUUACUGUGGUGUGGAAUAUAACCGAGGACAGAGAUAAGAGUAGAGUCACUGAGAGAGAGAGAGAGAGAGAGAGAGAGGAAAGUACAAGCGACAGAGUACUGCUGAGCUGCGCUGGAGUUUGAAAGACUUUGCGGAGAGACUUAAAACGGUAACGGUGAUAUAAAUACCCGACUUUUAACCGGAUUAAAGCCACAGCACUUCCUUCCCUGAGAAAGUCAAACAGGCUGUGCUGUGGUGAGGAGGAACCGCGCACGCGCGCAAACACAGCAUGACAGGAGACUGGUGUGAUCAUAGCUGUGAGCCCAGGUAGCUAGAGAUCAUCACCUAACACACACACACACACACACCACCACCACCAACACCACCACCACCAACACCAAUCAGCUUCAACUGAACACAAGCAAGACCACCAUCACAGGAGAUAGAUUGGUGCGCUGAGACAAGAGCAGAAGUACAUCGGGUACUCGAUCUUUGGAUAUCUUCCCGCCCGGUUUGACUGAAGCUCCGGCCAGGACAGCAUUAAAAAUACAUAUCCCAAAGGAAGACUCUGGCUUCACUCACUCUCACACUCGCUCACACACACACUCACAAAUAAAUCAAUACCCCCAAGCUGUGAUUUCUUCAUCACUUUUCCCUCCAGCAACACACUGAGUGGGCAGCGAAAAGACCGGCUGAGCAGACUCUAUUUCUGCAACACUCAAACACUGUCCAUACUGCUGAAAUGUCUGUAGGGUUCAUAUUUUUUUCAAUAGUCUGCCAGGUGUAGGACCAAUUUUUUGCUUUUCCCACAAACAUCUGCUUAUCCAAUAUGUAUUUCCUUUAGCUGUCUUUCUUCUGAUAGAUCAUUUACUAUUUUUCUUACCAUCGUCUACAUUGCAUCUCAAUCCGAGUCCAGUGCUCUGACCUCAUUAGUCGAGUCCAAUACGUUUAGAUCGGCAGUGAGAACUGACAGACCUUCAGGACAGUUAGCAAUCGAAGCUCUUUUUCUUUGUCCCAACCCUGACUGCAACGGCGUGCUAACAAAGCAUUCCAUCAUUGCAAUUGACUCCUACAUUUCUCAAAGCUGAUCAGAAUAUUUAUAAGCCAGAGUUUCAUCCCAUCAUGUGAAAUGUGACACUGACCACACGUUCGGCCCUCGUUUGGCCCGGAGCAGAUAGCUUCUGACGUGCAGAAAGUGAAACGUGAACGAGAUCGACGAGCUUAUCAGCACAAUCGAACCUGACACAAGCUUGGAGGGAGGAAAGGAAGAGAGGAAAGGAGGGGGGG
Ictalurus punctatus (channel catfish) is the source of this 1426-nucleotide long non-coding RNA. The record is from Ensembl. Lineage: Eukaryota; Metazoa; Chordata; Actinopteri; Siluriformes; Ictaluridae.